ACGAACGCUGGCGGCGUGCUUCACACAUGCAAGUCGAACGGAAAGGCCCUGCUUUUGUGGGGUGCUCGCGUGGCGAACGGGUGAGUAACACGUGAGUAACCUGCCCUUGACUUUGGGAUAACUUCAGGAAACUGGGGCUAAUACCGGAUAGGAGCUCCUGCUGCCUGGUGGGGGUUGGAAAGUUUCGGCGGUUGGGGAUGGACUCGCGGCUUAUCAGCUUGUUGGUGGGGUAGUGGCUUACCAAGGCUUUGACGGGUAGCCGGCCUGAGAGGGUGACCGGCCACAUUGGGACUGAGAUACGGCCCAGACUCCUACGGGAGGCAGCAGUGGGGAAUAUUGCACAAUGGGCGGAAGCCUGAUGCAGCAACGCCGCGUGCGGGAUGACGGCCUUCGGGUUGUAAACCGCUUUCGCCUGUGACGAAGCGUGAGUGACGGUAAUGGGUAAAGAAGCACCGGCUAACUACGUG
This 467-nucleotide ribosomal RNA is filed under the name uncultured bacterium. RNAcentral's name for it is "partial 16S ribosomal RNA". It matches the Rfam family "Bacterial small subunit ribosomal RNA", at positions 29 to 507 of the family's 1533-position model. The record is from RNAcentral.